This 467-nucleotide ribosomal RNA is filed under the name uncultured bacterium. RNAcentral describes it as "SSU rRNA". It matches the Rfam family "Bacterial small subunit ribosomal RNA", at positions 26 to 518 of the family's 1533-position model. The record is from RNAcentral.
AGGACAAACGCUGGCGGCGUGCCUAAGACAUGCAAGUCGAACGGAAGGCUUCGGCCUUGAGUGGCGGACGGGUGAGGAGCGCGUGGAGAACCUGCCCCGGGGUGGGGGAUAACAGUCGGAAACGAUUGCUAAGACCGCAUACGACCAUUCGUUGCAGGAUGAAUGGGGAAAGCAGCGAUGUGCCCUGGGAGGGCUCCGCGUCGGAUUAGCUAGUUGGUGGGGUAACGGCCUACCAAGGCUGCGAUCCGUAGCUGGUCUGAGAGGACGGCCAGCCACACUGGGACUGAGACACGGCCCAGACUCCUACGGGAGGCAGCAGUUAGGGAAUUUUGUCAAUGGGCGAAAGCCUGAACGAGUGACGCCGCGUGCGGGAUGACGCCUUUCGGGGUGUAAACCGCUUUUCUCAAGGACGAGGAUGGACGGUACUUGGGGAAUUAAGUCUCGGCUAACUACGCGCCAGCAGCCGC